Polistes canadensis is the source of this 556-nucleotide long non-coding RNA. RefSeq lists it as uncharacterized. Lineage: Eukaryota; Metazoa; Arthropoda; Insecta; Hymenoptera; Vespidae. The record is from RefSeq and is a predicted model, not a curated record. The transcript has 2 exons.
UGCUGUGCCGGGAAUUCACGAAUAUUCGCGCAUCUUUCCACGCGCAUUCUGCCUGUUCAAUACAUCUCCCAGGUUUCCUGGAACUUCCAGCAGAUGGCACGAUAGGAGUAUGCAACGCAAGGGGUGGAAAAUACAACCCCCUUUUCGAGCGACUGCUAACCUCUUCUACUAGCUAGUGGUGAUCUCAUCUAAGAGACGACGACUCGACAGACUGCCACGAGGAUAUCAACUCUAUCCCAAAUGUCUUAGAUGUAUCGCUGAGGUACGCCGUAGGUGAUCCGCCACGGAGCCAAUCUCCUGUAUCAGCAUCAUCGUUCCAUCGCCGUCCACCUUAGAGAUGUCUUCAUUUGUCUUAUUCAAAUGAGAUGCCGUGAGAGACGGUCUUUAAGCGGCUUAAAGGAAUAAAGCCUUUCAGAUUGUACCAUGAAAGAUCGGAGCAAUAGUUUGCAAUAUUGAUCAAUAUUCUAGAGCCCUUUGUUGGCUAGUUUUUUAUUUAUGAAAAUAUUGUGUAAUGUGAAGGCUUAGCAAUAUCGAGAAUCGAAUAAAUAUCCAUUUU